UCGCAGUGCUGGUCACCGCUGUCACUGUCGUCGUCUUCGCGCGGUGCUGCUCGCCGCCGUGACUCCCUCCCGCCGUCACCGCAAAUCUCCAGUUCAAGCUACCAAAUGUCGUCAGAUGAACAUUUAACGGAGAACAACGAUUCAGACAACGAUCCCGACAAUCCAAUUCAAGAGGUAUGUUUGCUUCCAAAUUUCAGAUUUUGUGUGCUUGUUAUGCCCGAUUUUGGGGAACACGUUUCCAAAUUUCAGAUUUUGAAUGCUCGUUUGAAAUGGUCGAUUUCUGGUUUAUGUGGAUGAUUGCUCGAUUUAUUGUUUAUUGGAUGAUUGCUCGAUUUCUUAUGUCUUUUUUUGUGUCGAUUUUCUGAAAAUUUUCCCAUUACCCUAGUGUUUGAAAUUGCUCAGAAUGCUCGACAUGCUCGAUGCGAAACAAGCGAGCAUUUGUGUUUAAAUUUUGUGUAGUUGAAUGCUCAGAUUUUUGGAUCUCUGAUUUUGUGUUUAUUGAUUCAUGUUGUGAAUGAAAUUAUUUCUGAUGUCUGUUUUGGUGUCGCUUUUUCUGAAAUUUUCCUAUUACCGUAGUGUUUGAAAUUGAAAUUGCUCGGAAUGCUCGACAUGCUCGAUGCGGAACAAUCGAGCAUUGUAUAUUAUGCACUAAUGCUCGACUACUAUUUUCGAGCAUGUCGAGUAAUGCGAGCAUUUGAACAUUUUGCACUAAUGCUCGACUCUUUGUUUCGAGAUGUCGAGUAAUGCGACAUUUCUACAUUUUGCACUAAUGGUCGGCUACUCUGUUUCGAGCAUGUCGAGCAAUGCCGAGCAAUGUCGAGCAAUGCGAGCACAGUCUACAUUUUGCAUGUGAAUACUUGUCUUGAUUCCAAUUGAUUUUUGUAUGUCAACACUUGUCUUCAUUCUAAUUUACUUUUGUGUUGUGGACAGGGAGGAUGGAAGUGGAAGAGACCUCUAAUGAGAGGUGUUUCUUGUACAAUAGUGACAUACACGAAGGAUUCAACCAUUAUGAAUGGUAUCCGUAGAGUUCUAUCAGAUAUUGGGGAGAAGUCGCACUUAAGCAAUUUGAGAAAAGCUGCUUUGGAAGAUUUUUAAAGCUACCGGAUUCAAUUAACAAAUGCAAUCAAGCCAUUCAUCACGUCAUAUCACACAAAUAAUAUUUGGUGAGGAAGCAGAUAAAACGGCGCUGUGGUUUAGGAUAAACAACCAAAAUUUGAGGUUCAGUCGUUUUGAGUAUGCUUUAGUGACGGGACUCCAAUUUGGAGAAAGUGCUUUUAAUCCCUAUGUUGAGCAUGAAAUACAUGAACACUCAUUAUAUCAUAGGGAG
This 1327-nucleotide long non-coding RNA is filed under the name Salvia miltiorrhiza (redroot sage). RNAcentral describes it as "long non-coding RNA (SMIL_LNC007023)". The record is from RNAcentral. Lineage: Eukaryota; Viridiplantae; Streptophyta; Magnoliopsida; Lamiales; Lamiaceae.